CAAGUCCACAGGUAGAGUGAGGAAAAUCAAAGUUCGAUAAAGUUCUUUCCGGCACCUGUUCUGGUGUGAGCUAGCAGGCACCCUGUGAAAUUAGUCAAGGUGAGCAAAAGCUGGCCGGGACACCACUGGGGUAGGUAGUUGACCAUUAUUCUUUCAUUUCUCAGGAAAUGGAGAGUUGAGCUUUCAGAACCCAACAAGACACUCUUGUGUUAGUUAAUAAAGACAUUUUAACAAUCAAAACACAACUGCGAUUCAGUUCUUCAUCCAAAUAUAACAAACCGCAGAUAUCAACUAGACAUCCAUAUUUAUAGUUUCAGGAGAAAUUGAGCUUCCAAGACUUGGCAGCACGACCACUCACAACAAUCCAUAACAUUACAACUUGCGCUAAAUCUGCUAGCAGACGUACACACAACUAAAACAAAUAAAAAUUUUAUUCACAGCAAACUCACUAUGAGUUAAAACCAUCAGAUGACUGACUGGUCAAAGAUCACAACCUUGGCACCCACAGUCCCAACAUAAGUCUGCUAAAAAUGAAUUGCAAAAUGGAAGUACCAGCACAGAUCAUCAAAGAAGCCAAUACCCACAAAAUAAUAGUUUAAAAGCUAUCUAACAUGUUAGACAUGGCUCAUCAUUAUUACCCACGUAAAAACUGGAAUGCCAAAUGAAUCACUAAGAAAAUAACUUUAAAACAUACAUGCCUCGUCAUUAUUACCCACGUAAAAACUGGAAUGCCUAAUGAAUCACUAAGAAAAUAACUUAACAACAUAGAGUGACAUAUAUGUGCUCAAUGAACUCCAUUACACAAAGACACAGCACAAUAUUGUCAGCCCAAGAAUUUCGUACAGAAACUG
RNAcentral lists this long non-coding RNA (851 nucleotides) under Nicotiana benthamiana. RNAcentral describes it as "long non-coding RNA (NBEN_LNC018341)". The record is from RNAcentral. Lineage: Eukaryota; Viridiplantae; Streptophyta; Magnoliopsida; Solanales; Solanaceae.